Molecule: small nuclear RNA, 23 nt
Filed under: Arabidopsis thaliana (thale cress)
Lineage: Eukaryota; Viridiplantae; Streptophyta; Magnoliopsida; Brassicales; Brassicaceae
Description: snRNA_05389
Source: RNAcentral
UUGUAUUACUAUCAACCCAAACC